RNAcentral lists this ribosomal RNA (1611 nucleotides) under Boletaceae sp. TU112123. RNAcentral describes it as "eukaryotic LSU rRNA". The stretch from base 734 to 1611 matches the Rfam family "Eukaryotic large subunit ribosomal RNA", at positions 1 to 884 of the family's 3401-position model. The record is from RNAcentral. Lineage: Eukaryota; Fungi; Basidiomycota; Agaricomycetes; Boletales; Boletaceae.
GGAAGGAUCAUUAUCGAACGAGAUGCAAGACUGUCGCUGGCUUCCUUAUUUCUCAAGGUAGCAUGUGCACGUCUCGCGUCUAUCCCCCUCUACACACACCCGUGCACCCUUUGUAGGCCCUUGACUGCCGCUGGCGGUCGAGGAUCUAUGUUACAUUCAUUACACUCCGACGUAUGUCUAUGGAAGGGAAAAUCAUAUUAUACAACUUUCAGCAAUGGAUCUCUUGGCUCUCGCAUCGAUGAAGAACGUAGCGAAUUGCGAUAAGUAAUGUGAAUUGCAGAUUUCCAGUGAAUCAUCGAAUCUUUGAACGCACCUUGCGCUCCUUGGUAUUCCGAGGAGCAUGCCUGUUUGAGUGUCAUUUUUAUUCUCAACCAACGUUCUACGUAUCCAUCGUAGGGCAUUUGGCUUGGAGUUUGGGGGUUUGCUGGCUUCGUCAGCUCUCCUGAAAUGCAUUAGCGAUGGUUAUUAGCUCGACAUGCACGGCCUUUUCUGACGUGAUAAUGAUCGUUGGAUUUAGGGGGCUGGAGUGUCGACGUUCGAUAGAAGAACGAUCUAAUGUGAUGUCGCCUCUAAUUCGAGAAAAGGACUCGGACUCGGACUCGGACUCAGACUUUGGGUUAGACUUUGUCUACCUUAGCUACUAGUCAGCCAUUCUUUGGUAGGCGAACGCGGAGUCAGACUCGAACGGUCUAUUCCUAUCGUCCUAAUCCCAGUCCCAUUCUAUUUGCAUGCUUGACCUCAAAUCAGGUAGGAUUACCCGCUGAACUUAAGCAUAUCAAUAAGCGGAGGAAAAGAAACUAACAAGGAUUCCCCUAGUAACUGCGAGUGAAGCGGGAAGAGCUCAAAUUUCGAAUCUGGCGGUCCUUGGUUGGCCGUUCGAGUUGUAAUCUAGAGAAGCGUUUUCCGCGCUGGACCGUGUACAAGUCUCCUGGAAGGGAGCGUCAUAGAGGGUGAGAAUCCCGUCUCUGACACGGACUACCAGGGCUAUGUGAUGCGCUCUCGACGAGUCGAGUUGUUUGGGAAUGCAGCUCAAAACGGGUGGUAAAUUCCAUCUAAAGCUAAAUACAGGCGAGAGACCGAUAGCGAACAAGUACCGUGAGGGAAAGAUGAAAAGAACUUUGGAAAGAGAGUUAAACAGUACGUGAAAUUGCUGAAAGGGAAACGCUUGAUGUCAGUCGCGUCGGCCGGGGAUCAACCUUGAAAUUCGAGGUGUACUUCCUGGUCGACGGGUCAGCAUCAGUUUCGAUCGUCAUAUAAUGGCAAUUGGAAUGUGGCACUCUUCGGGGUGUGUUAUAGCCUUUUGUCGCAUGUGGGGGUCGGGACUGAGGAACUCGGCACCUAGUGCUUGAAGAUGCUGGCAUAAUGGCCUUAAGCGACCCGUCUUGAAACACGGACCAAGGAGUCUAACAUGCCUGCGAGUGUUUGGGUGGAAAACUCAUGCGCGAAAUGAAAGUGAACGUCGAGACCUCUGUCGUGGAGGGCACCGACGCCCGGACCCAAGUCUUUGACGAGGGAUCUGCGGUAGAGCAUGCAUGUUGGGACCCGAAAGAUGGUGAACUAUGCCUGAAUAGGGUGAAGCCAGAGGAAACUCUGGUGGAGGCUCGUAGCGAU